CGGACGGGUGAGUAACACGUGGAUAACCUACCUAUAAGACUGGGAUAACUUCGGGAAACCGGAGCUAAUACCGGAUAAUAUUUUGAACCGCAUGGUUCAAAAGUGAAAUACGGUCUUGCUGUCACUUAUAGAUGGAUCCGCGCUGCAUUAGCUAGUUGGUAAGGUAACGGCUUACCAAGGCAACGAUGCGUAGCCGACCUGAGAGGGUGAUCGGCCACACUGGAACUGAGACACGGUCCAG
Molecule: ribosomal RNA, 241 nt
Filed under: uncultured Staphylococcus sp.
Lineage: Bacteria; Bacillati; Bacillota; Bacilli; Caryophanales; Staphylococcaceae
Description: partial 16S ribosomal RNA
Rfam family: Bacterial small subunit ribosomal RNA
Source: RNAcentral